RNAcentral lists this ribosomal RNA (497 nucleotides) under uncultured bacterium. Its description in RNAcentral is "partial 16S ribosomal RNA". It matches the Rfam family "Bacterial small subunit ribosomal RNA", at positions 28 to 507 of the family's 1533-position model. The record is from RNAcentral.
GACGAACGCUGGCGGCGUGCCUAAUACAUGCAAGUUGAGCGCUGAAGGUUGGUCCUUGUACCAACUGGAUGAGCAGCGAACGGGUGAGUAACGCGUGGGGAAUCUGCCUUUGAGCGGGGGACAACAUUUGGAAACGAAUGCUAAUACCGCAUAAAAACUUUAAACACAAGUUUUAAGCUUGAAAGAUGCAAUUGCAUCACUCAAAGAUGAUCCCGCGUUGUAUUAGCUAGUUGGUGAGGUAAAGGCUCACCAAGGCGAUGAUACAUAGCCGACCUGAGAGGGGGAUCGGCCACAUUGGGACUGAGACACGGCCCAAACUCCUACGGGAGGCAGCAGUAGGGAAUCUUCGGCAAUGGACGAAAGUCUGACCGAGCAACGCCGCGUGAGUGAAGAAGGUUUUCGGAUCGUAAAACUCUGUUGGUAGAGAAGAACGUUGGUGAGAGUGGAAAGCUCAUCAAGUGACGGUAACUACCCAGAAAGGGACGGCUAACUACGUG